AAACGAUGCAUUGCGACUAUUAAAUCAAUCGCCAAUUCCUUCAAAAAAAUUGAAUGAUUAUCAAUUUUUGAGUAAUAAAAUAAAUCAGACGUCUGACAGCUUGAAAAAAAUUUUGCUCUCAACUGCUGACGAAGGAUCAAUUGAUGAGGAUGGUGAAAAUUUUCGUUCAUUAAUUGAAAAGCUGCACGAUAAAUUCAAUGAUAAAGAAACAGAAAAGUCUUUAAAGAUACAAAUCUUAACCUUGUUACCUGAAAAAUGGGGUGAAAGACGUAUUUGUAAAACUAUGAAUACAUCAAGACAUUUAUCAAGAGUAGCAAAAAAGUUGGUUGAAGAAAAAGGUAUACUUUCAACACCUGAAACAAAAUUAGGGACGACAAUUACUGAUCAAAUAUUAUUGAAAAUUGCGAAUUUUUACAACGAUGAUGAGUAUAGUGCUUUGAUGCCCGGCAUGAAAGACUUUGUUUCAGUUCGAAAUGAUGAUGGUAAUCGGGUACACGUCCAAAAACGGCUUGUUCUGUCUAAUUUAAAGAACUUUACCAAUGUUUCCGUGAAAUAAACCCUGCAGAGAAAGUUGGAUUUUCGAAAUUUGCUUCGUUACGGCCGAAACAUUGUGUGUUAGCAGGAGCAAGUGGAACGCAUACUAUCUGUGUAUGUACUAUCCAUCAAAACUUUAAGUUGAUGAUGCUUGGUGCAAAUGUUCAUUCUUUAACGAGGAAUACAGAAAAGUCGUUGAAACACUAUAAUGAUUGCUUGGACAUGAUAAUAUGUGAGACUCCAACAGAAAAUGUUAUUUGGGUGGAUGUAACAAGUGUCCAGGGGUAGAUGAGUUGAGUAACAUUUUACUGACAUGUUUUGAGAAUCAGGAAAUCGAGAAUGUCACGUACAAGCGUUGGGUAUCAAAACCAAGGUGCAGUUUAGAAACUUUUAU
Cotesia glomerata is the source of this 928-nucleotide long non-coding RNA. RefSeq lists it as uncharacterized. The transcript has 3 exons. The record is from RefSeq and is a predicted model, not a curated record. Lineage: Eukaryota; Metazoa; Arthropoda; Insecta; Hymenoptera; Braconidae.